GCUGUUGUAGCUCAGUGGUAGAGCACUUCCUUGGUAAGGAAGAGGUCCCGAGUUCAAUCCUCGGCAACAGCU
RNAcentral lists this transfer RNA (72 nucleotides) under Rikenella sp. RNAcentral describes it as "tRNA-Thr". It matches the Rfam family "tRNA". From Rfam's summary of the family: Transfer RNA (tRNA) molecules are approximately 80 nucleotides in length. Their secondary structure includes four short double-helical elements and three loops (D, anti-codon, and T loops). Further hydrogen bonds mediate the characteristic L-shaped molecular structure. tRNAs have two regions of fundamental functional importance: the anti-codon, which is responsible for specific mRNA codon recognition, and the 3' end, to which the tRNAs corresponding amino acid is attached (by aminoacyl-tRNA synthetases). tRNAs cope with the degeneracy of the genetic code in two manners: having more than one tRNA (with a specific anti-codon) for a particular amino acid; and 'wobble' base-pairing, i.e. permitting non-standard base-pairing at the 3rd anti-codon position. The record is from RNAcentral. Lineage: Bacteria; Pseudomonadati; Bacteroidota; Bacteroidia; Bacteroidales; Rikenellaceae.